RNAcentral lists this ribosomal RNA (492 nucleotides) under uncultured bacterium. Its description in RNAcentral is "partial 16S ribosomal RNA". It matches the Rfam family "Bacterial small subunit ribosomal RNA", at positions 29 to 507 of the family's 1533-position model. The record is from RNAcentral.
AGUGAACGCUGGCGGUAGGCCUAACACAUGCAAGUCGAACGGCAGCACAGUAAGAGCUUGCUCUUACGGGUGGCGAGUGGCGGACGGGUGAGGAAUACAUCGGAAUCUGCUUUUUCGUGGGGGAUAACGUAGGGAAACUUACGCUAAUACCGCAUACGACCUACGGGUGAAAGCAGGGGAUCUUCGGACCUUGCGCGAUUGAAUGAGCCGAUGUCGGAUUAGCUAGUUGGCGGGGCAAAGGCCCACCGAGGCGACGAUCCGUAGCUGGUCUGAGAGGAUGAUCAGCCACACUGGAACUGAGACACGGUCCAGACUCCUACGGGAGGCAGCAGUGGGGAAUAUUGGACAAUGGGCGCAAGCCUGAUCCAGCCAUACCGCGUGGGUGAAGAAGGCCUUCGGGUUGUAAAGCCCUUUUGUUGGGAAAGAAAAGCAGCAGGUUAAUACCCCGCUGUUCUGACGGUACCCAAAGAAUAAGCACCGGCUAACUUCGUG